This 440-nucleotide ribosomal RNA is filed under the name uncultured bacterium. RNAcentral describes it as "partial 16S ribosomal RNA". It matches the Rfam family "Bacterial small subunit ribosomal RNA", at positions 338 to 795 of the family's 1533-position model. The record is from RNAcentral.
CCUACGGGCGGCAGCAGUAGGGAAUAUUGCUCAAUGGGGGAAACCCUGAAGCAGCAACGCCGCGUGGAGGAUGAAGGUUUUCGGAUUGUAAACUCCUUUUGUUAGAGAAGAUAAUGACGGUACCUGAUGAAUAAGCUCCGGCUAACUACGUGCCAGCAGCCGCGGUAAUACGUAGGGAGCAAGCGUUAUCCGGAUUUACUGGGUGUAAAGGGCGCGUAGGCGGGAUGGCAAGUCAGAUGUGAAAUCCAGGGGCUCAACCCCUGAACUGCAUUUGAAACUGUCGUUCUUGAGUACUGGAGAGGUUGACGGAAUUCCUAGUGUAGCGGUGAAAUGCGUAGAUAUUAGGAGGAACACCAGUGGCGAAGGCGGUCAACUGGACAGCAACUGACGCUGAGGCGCGAAAGCGUGGGGAGCAAACAGGAUUAGAUACCCUAGUAGUC